Molecule: non-coding RNA, 125 nt
Organism: Chelonoidis abingdonii (Abingdon island giant tortoise)
Lineage: Eukaryota; Metazoa; Chordata; Testudines; Testudinidae
Source: RefSeq, a predicted model, not a curated record
AAAUUUUCAGAUGGUAAAACAGGAGAGGAGGACCGGAUUAUCAUACAAGAAGAUAUGGACGACCUUGAAAACUGCAGUAAUAGAAAUGGGAUGAAAUGUAAUAGUUCAAAGUGCAAGGUCAUGUA